CAGCACACCUAAACCACAAAAUGACAGUAUGGAAACAACAAAUUAGUGUACAUGUGUAUAAAUAUAGGUUCGAAAGUAUUUAUGUAUUGUGUCAUUGAUUCACACUGAGGCAAGCUGAACAAUUGUCAAAUCUUAUACAAGGAACUGACCAAGAUACCAUAGUAAAUCUAUUGCAUACAAAAAAAAACAAUGAAGCUAUAUCAGAAAGUCGUUGUUUUAAUUGUAAUUUUUGCCUUCUGUGGUGAUGUCGGCAAUCUUAUAAAUUCGGUAUGGACUGGACAAGAAAUGGUAUCACAAAACUCCGCUGUCCUGUUGCCCGGAGCACAUGCAAUUUGGGGACACGUGGCAAGGGCAGUGGUAAGGGGUUUGUCAAAAAGAGGAAAGAAAAAGGGAGGUAGCGAACAUACAAAAGGCAAGAGACCGAGCACCAAAGGUAAACAUCAGAAAGGACAAAGCAGAAAACAAAAAGACCAAGACCGGGCAAGUGGAAAGAAACAAAAAGGGGGAAAAGAUGGGAGCAAGAAGAGGGGAUGAAAAUAUUAAGAUGAUAUUCUGUAACAUGUGUCAUUCCCUUUUUUAUAAAGGAUACACACCGAGUGUUUAGGAGACUGUUCUAGAGUUCAACUAGUAUGGUGUCAUUUCAGCUUAAAUUGUGACAGUUUGCAAAAGUAUGGAAAUGUGAUCAUUAACAGAAUGUAAAGAUAGUAGAAGUGUCAAAAAUAAAAGAAAAAUGAAUUAUUUGCCUA
Long non-coding RNA from Mytilus californianus (California mussel), 746 nucleotides. RefSeq lists it as uncharacterized. The transcript has 2 exons. The record is from RefSeq and is a predicted model, not a curated record. Lineage: Eukaryota; Metazoa; Mollusca; Bivalvia; Mytilida; Mytilidae.